Long non-coding RNA from Canis lupus familiaris (dog), 546 nucleotides. RefSeq lists it as uncharacterized. The record is from RefSeq and is a predicted model, not a curated record. Lineage: Eukaryota; Metazoa; Chordata; Mammalia; Carnivora; Canidae. The transcript has 2 exons.
GGUCACGUUGGCCAGUGAUGGAAAACCACGUGGUUGCUCUGAAUUUCCUCGUAGUGAUGAGGAAUGGGUGUGCCUUCCCCAGAAGCUGUCAUUCCAUUCAUGCCACAGGAUGACACUGAGGGCUGUGUUAUUUCCUGGAGACACUGCUCAAAAACCAGGGCAGCUGCCCUUAGUUGGGUGCUCAUCUUAAUCAAAGAAUGGAGAGAAGAUGUGUCCCUGUGCCCAUGGCUUCUACCAAAAGGAGUCAGGAGUCUUCCAGAACCAGAAAACCUGAAUGUUCUCCAUAGAGUAAGUGACAAGCAAGCAAAGAUAUCAUCGAGCAGUUGCCAAGGAAAAUGCCACAAGGAGGAAGUUCUGACCAGCAGAGCCCAUGAGCUAGGACAAGAAAAAACAAACAAACAAAAAAAACGCAAGACCUAGCUGGAGGAGGCCGGACGCUCACUUGUAAAGUGCAACCAACCACAGGAGGAUAUGUUAUUCGCAUUUAGAUGAGUGGCCUGUUUCUUCAUUGAUGGUGUAAAUCAAUAAAAGAAUAUCAAUUACAAA